Molecule: long non-coding RNA, 395 nt
Organism: Suricata suricatta (meerkat)
Lineage: Eukaryota; Metazoa; Chordata; Mammalia; Carnivora; Herpestidae
Exons: 3
Source: RefSeq, a predicted model, not a curated record
GCACAGGGCUUGGCGGCCGGGGCAGUUCCAACAAGGACCACAGGGGGGCGGAAAAACGCCCCUUCCCCUCCGGUGGGAGGAGUCCCUUGGAGUAACUCACUAAGCUCCACCUUGUUGAUUGCAGCCAGGCCCCAGGAAGGGCAGCAGAGAGCCUGAGGAUGUCACACAUUUCCCUAGGUUAACGGACUGCAGCUGAAGCAGCAUGCGGAGAUGUGCUGUGGAUGGGGGUACAUGCCAACACACCGCCCAGAGGGCUUUGCUGCCUCACAGAAAACUGGCCCCUGGCCCCACAGUUUCUGACUUAGCAGGUCCUACUGGGGAAUCUGCAAGAGAACCUGCAUUUUUCUUUUAAUUUUCUUAAUUUUUAAAAUAAAAAAAAUUUCUUUUAAUGUUUA